RNAcentral lists this ribosomal RNA (440 nucleotides) under uncultured bacterium. RNAcentral's name for it is "partial 16S ribosomal RNA". It matches the Rfam family "Bacterial small subunit ribosomal RNA", at positions 338 to 795 of the family's 1533-position model. The record is from RNAcentral.
CCUACGGGUGGCUGCAGUAGGGAAUAUUGCUCAAUGGGGGAAACCCUGAAGCAGCAACGCCGCGUGGAGGAUGAAGGUUUUCGGAUUGUAAACUUCUUUUGUUAGAGAAGAUAAUGAAGGGAUCUAACGAAUAAGGACCGGCUAACACCGUGCCAGCAGCCGCGGCAAUACGGAGGGUGCAAGCGUUACUCGGAAUGACUGGGCGUAAAGAGCGCGUAGGCGGGAUAGCAAGUCAGAUGUGAAAUCCUAAGGCUUAACCAUAGAACUGCAUUUGAAACUGUUAUUCUAGAGUAUGGGAGAGGUAUGUGGAAUUCUUGGUGUAGAGGUAAAAUCCGUAGAGAUCAAGAAGAAUACUCAUUGCGAAGGCGACCUGCUGGAACAUAACUGACGCUGAGGCGCGAAAGCGUGGGGAGCAAACAGGAUUAGAUACCCGAGUAGUC